RNAcentral lists this ribosomal RNA (789 nucleotides) under uncultured archaeon. Its description in RNAcentral is "bacterial SSU rRNA". It matches the Rfam family "Archaeal small subunit ribosomal RNA", at positions 85 to 879 of the family's 1478-position model. The record is from RNAcentral.
ACUGCUCAGUAACACGUGGACAACCUACCCUGAGGAGAGGGAUAACCCCGGAAAACUGGGGAUAAUACCUCAUAGACCAGGGAUGCUGGAAUGCUUCCUGGUCCAAAGGUCCGCCGCCUCAGGAUGGGUCUGCGGCCGAUUAGGUUGUUGUUGGGGUAACGGCCCAACAAGCCUUUGAUCGGUACGGGUUGUGGGAGCAAGAGCCCGGAGAUGGAUUCUGAGACACGAAUCCAGGCCCUACGGGGCGCAGCAGGCGCGAAAACUUUACAAUGCGAGAAAUCGUGAUAAGGGAACCCCGAGUGCCCGUAAAUCCGGGCUGUCCGCCAGUGUAAAUAACUGGUGAAGAAAGGGCCGGGCAAGACCGGUGCCAGCCGCCGCGGUAAUACCGGCGACUCGAGUGGUGGCCGCUAUUACUGGGCUUAAAGCGUUCGUAGCUGGGCUGUUAAGUCCCCUGGGAAAUCCACCGGCUCAACCGAUGGGCGUUCAGGGGAUACUGGCAGCCUAGGGACCGGGAGAGGUGAGGGGUACUCCAGGGGUAGGAGUGAAAUCCUGUAAUCCUUGGGGGACCACCUGUGGCGAAGGCGUCUCACUAGAACGGCUCCGACAGUGAGGAACGAAAGCUGGGGGAGCAAACUGGAUUAGAUACCCGGGUAGUCCCAGCUGUAAACGAUGCGCGUUAGGUGUAUCGGUGACCACGAGUCACCGAGGUGCCGAAGAAAAAUCGUGAAACGUGCCGCCUGGGAAGUACGGUCGCAAGGCUGAAACUUAAAGGAAUUGGCGGGGGAGCAC